RNAcentral lists this ribosomal RNA (497 nucleotides) under uncultured bacterium. RNAcentral describes it as "partial 16S ribosomal RNA". It matches the Rfam family "Bacterial small subunit ribosomal RNA", at positions 28 to 507 of the family's 1533-position model. The record is from RNAcentral.
GAUGAACGCUGGCGGCGUGCCUAAUACAUGCAAGUCGAGCGAACGGACGAGAAGCUUGCUUCUCUGAUGUUAGCGGCGGACGGGUGAGUAACACGUGGAUAACCUACCUAUAAGACUGGGAUAACUUCGGGAAACCGGAGCUAAUACCGGAUGAUAUUUUGAACCGCAUGGUUCAAAAGUGAAAGACGGUCUUGCUGUCACUUAUAGAUGGAUCCGCGCUGCAUUAGCUAGUUGGUAAGGUAACGGCUUACCACGGCAACGAUGCAUAGCCGACCUGAGAGGGUGAUAGGCCACACGGGAACUGAGACACGGUCCAGACUCCUACGGGAGGCAGCAGUAGGGAAUCCUCCGCAAUGGGCGAAAGCCUGACGGAGCAACGCCGCGUGAGUGAUGAAGGUCUUCGGAUCGUAAAACUCGGUUAUUAGGGAAGAACAGAUGUGUAAGUAACUGUGCACAGCGUGACGGUACCUAAUCAGAAAGCCACGGCUAACUACGUG